AACAAGCAAACUGUGGAUUUCCGUGUUAACGUUUAAUUGUCCGUCUCAUAUAAAUUUUUUUAUAAUUAGUAUUUUCAUUAUUGUUAGAUGAUAAAACAUGAUUAAUAUUUUAUGCGUGACUUAUCUUUUUAAUUUUUUAUAACUUUUUCAAAUAAGACGAACAGUCAAACAUUGAAAACGGAAAUCAAGGUUUGUCUCUUU
Molecule: microRNA precursor, 201 nt
Organism: Oryza sativa Indica Group (long-grained rice)
Lineage: Eukaryota; Viridiplantae; Streptophyta; Magnoliopsida; Poales; Poaceae
Rfam family: MIR812 microRNA precursor family
Source: Rfam